RNAcentral lists this ribosomal RNA (250 nucleotides) under uncultured bacterium. Its description in RNAcentral is "partial 16S ribosomal RNA". It matches the Rfam family "Bacterial small subunit ribosomal RNA", at positions 524 to 776 of the family's 1533-position model. The record is from RNAcentral.
GACGGGGGGGCAAGUGUUCUUCGGAAUGACUGGGCGUAAAGGGCACGUAGGCGGUGAAUCGGGUUGAAAGUGAAAGUCGCCAAAAAGUGGCGGAAUGCUCUCGAAACCAAUUCACUUGAGUGAGACAGAGGAGAGUGGAAUUCGUGUGUAGGGGUAGAAAUCCGUAAUAUACGAAGGAACGCCAAAGCUGAAGGAGCAGCUCUCUGGGUCCCUACCGACGCUGGGGUGCGAAAGCAUGGGAGCGAACAGG